Molecule: ribosomal RNA, 846 nt
Filed under: Escherichia sp.
Lineage: Bacteria; Pseudomonadati; Pseudomonadota; Gammaproteobacteria; Enterobacterales; Enterobacteriaceae
Description: bacterial SSU rRNA
Rfam family: Bacterial small subunit ribosomal RNA
Source: RNAcentral
AACUGGCGCGGCUACCUGCAGUCGAACGGUCACAGGAAGAGCUUGCUCUUUUGCUGACGAGUGGCGGACGGGAGAGUAAUGUCUGGGAAACUGCCUGAUGGAGGGGGAUAACUACUGGAAACGGGGGCUAAUACCGCAUAACGGCUCCAGACCAAAGAGGGGGACCUUCGGGCCUCUUGCCAUCGGAUGUGCCCAUAUGGGAUUAGCUAGUUGGUGGGGUAACGGCUCACCUAGGCGACGAUCCCUAGAUGGUCUGACAGGAUGACCAGCCACACUGGAACUGAGACACUGUCCAGACUCCUACAGGAGGCCGCAGAUGGGGAAUAUUGCACAAUGGGCGCAAGCCUGAUGCAGCCAUGCCGCGUGUAUGAAGAAGGCCUUCGGGAUGUAAAGUACUUUCAGUGGGGAGGAAGGGAGUAAAGUUAAUACCUUUGCUCGUUGACGCUACCCGCAGACCAAGCACCGGCUAACUCCGUGCCAGCAGCCGCGGUAAUACGGAGGGAGCAAGCGGUAAUCGGAAUUACUGGGCGUAAGGCGCACGCAGGCGGUUUGGUGAGUCCGAUGUGAAAUCCCCGGGCUCAACCUGGGAACUGCAUCUGAUACUGGCAAACUUGAGUCUCGUAGAGGGGGGUAGAAUUCCAGGAGUACCGGUGAAAUGCGUAAAUAUCUGGAGGAAUACCGGAGGCGAAGGCGGCCCCGUGAACGAAUACUGACGCUCAGGUGCUAAAGCGUGGGGAGCUGACGGAUUACAUGCCCUGGAUACUCCGCGCCGUAAACCGAUGUCGAACUUGGAAGGCUGUGCCCUUUGAGGGGGUGCCUUCCCGGAGCUGACUGCGUUUAAAUCGA